Molecule: ribosomal RNA, 448 nt
Filed under: uncultured bacterium
Lineage: Bacteria
Description: bacterial SSU rRNA
Rfam family: Bacterial small subunit ribosomal RNA
Source: RNAcentral
GGCCAGACUCCUACGGGAGGCAGCAGUGGGGGAUAUUGCACAAUGGGGGGAACCCUGAUGCAGCGACGCCGCGUGGGCGAGGGAGCGCCUCGGCGCGUAAAGCCCUUUCGGCGGGGGAGAACGAUGACGGUACCCGACGAAGAAGCACCGGCUAAAUACGUGCCAGCAGCCGCGGUAAUACGUAGGGAGCAAGCGUUAUCCGGAUUUACUGGGUGUAAAGGGCGUGUAGGCGGGCUUGCAAGUCAGAAGUGAAAUCUGGGGGCUUAACUCCCAAACUGCUUUUGAAACUGUGGGUCUUGAGUGAUGGAGAGGCAGGCGGAAUUCCCAGUGUAGCGGUGAAAUGCGUAGAUAUUGGGAGGAACACCAGUGGCGAAGGCGGCCUGCUGGACAUUAACUGACGCUGAGGCGCGAAAGCGUGGGGAGCAAACAGGAUUAGAUACCCUAGUAU